AGUGAACGCUGGCGGUAGGCCUAACACAUGCAAGUCGAACGGCAGCACAGUAAGAGCUUGCUCUUACGGGUGGCGAGUGGCGGACGGGUGAGGAAUACAUCGGAAUCUACUUUUUCGUGGGGGAUAACGUAGGGAAACUUACGCUAAUACCGCAUACGACCUACGGGUGAAAGCAGGGGAUCUUCGGACCUUGCGCGAUUGAAUGAGCCGAUGUCGGAUUAGCUAGUUGGCGGGGUAAAGGCCCACCAAGGCGACGAUCCGUAGCUGGUCUGAGAGGAUGAUCAGCCACACUGGAACUGAGACACGGUCCAGACUCCUACGGGAGGCAGCAGUGGGGAAUAUUGGACAAUGGGCGCAAGCCUGAUCCAGCUAUACCGCGUGGGUGAAGAAGGCCUUCGGGUUGUAAAGCCCUUUUGUUGGGAAAGAAAAGCAGUAGGUUAAUACCCCGCUGUUCUGACGGUACCCAAAGAAUAAGCACCGGCUAACUUCGUG
This 492-nucleotide ribosomal RNA is filed under the name uncultured bacterium. RNAcentral describes it as "partial 16S ribosomal RNA". It matches the Rfam family "Bacterial small subunit ribosomal RNA", at positions 29 to 507 of the family's 1533-position model. The record is from RNAcentral.